RNAcentral lists this ribosomal RNA (422 nucleotides) under uncultured Flavonifractor sp. Its description in RNAcentral is "partial 16S ribosomal RNA". It matches the Rfam family "Bacterial small subunit ribosomal RNA", at positions 341 to 778 of the family's 1533-position model. The record is from RNAcentral. Lineage: Bacteria; Bacillati; Bacillota; Clostridia; Eubacteriales; Oscillospiraceae.
ACGGAAGGCAGCAGUGGGGAAUAUUGGGCAAUGGGCGCAAGCCUGACCCAGCGACGCCGCGUGAGGGAAGAAGGUCUUCGGAUUGUAAACCUUGAUCAUUGGGGAAGAAGAAAAUGACGGUACCCAAGGAGAAGCCACGGCUAACUACGUGCCAGCAGCCGCGGUAAUACGUAGGUGGCAAGCGUUAUCCGGAUUUACUGGGUGUAAAGGGUGUGUAGGCGGGUGUGCAAGUCAGAUGUGAAAACUAUGGGCUCAACUCAUAGCCUGCAUUCGAAACUGCAUAUCUUGAGAGUCGGAGAGGUAAACGGAGUUCCCGGUGUAGCGGUGAAAUGCGCAGAUAUCGGGAGGAACAUCGGUGGCGAGGGCGGUUUACUGGACGACAACUGACGCUGAGACACGAAGGCGUGGGGAGCAAACAGGGU